CUCUCUCCUCCCGUUGACCCUCUCUCUCCCUCUCUCCUCCCGCCGCCGCAUCGCUUGCUCUCCGCUGCCGUGCCUCGCCGCCACCCCGCUCACCGCUUUGCGGGCCCAGCCGCUCUCGCAGGAUCCAGAUCCGCCGCGGGGGCGAGGCUCGGAGAAGAAGCGACAGCAAGCUCCUGCGCGGCUCCGGCAUUGGCACGAGGGCGCGGCAGAGGGGCCAAGGUUAUCUCGCCGGCGGACAUGCGGGGAGCGGUGCGCCGCGGCUGCCAUCGCCCCGGCGUGGGGGAGGAACGCGCAACACCGGCUCUGGCGCGAGAGAGCAGGAGAGGGAGGGAGAGGCCACCACGGUGGGGGAGCUGGCGCGCGGGGCGGACCAGAUCUCGUCGUCCCCGACCAGGAGCCGCAACGCCAUUCUGGAUCUGGCUAGAGAGCACAUCGUCAGCCUCCCCGAGGUCCCGGAGGCGGCGGCCGCAGACCUCGGCGUCGCGACGGCCCUUGGCGAUGAGGCCGAUGCACGGGUCCGGACCGCGCGUGUACUACGCGCCACCGGCCCUUGCAUCGGAGCUCAACGCCGCCUGCCCCACUCGCUAAGCCUGGAGCUCCCGCGCCCAUCCGUCGAUGAGCUCCCGCGCUCUUCUGCCCCACGCUGCUCCUCCGCCCAAGCUUGCCACGCCCGUGCACCUCCUCCCGCUGCGGGGCGCGCCUUCGCUUUCACCAUGGUGCACCAGCACGAUCCGGCGGGGGCGAGGCAGUGGGUGAUCUCGCGCCUGUAGCUGCAGCUCUGGGAGCUGCUGCUGGGCACAGCGGAGCGGGAUGCCCAGCAUGUCCUCUCACCACCGUGACGACAAUUCGGAAGCAACUUGAGUCCUAGCAUGGCGGUCGUUGCCUUACUGCAACAGAGUGGACCACUUCUACUUCCACUCCUCUGCGCCCUGUGCCGCCUCCGUUGUUCAGCAGAACCAAGGUCAUCUCCCAGCUGUUUGCAUAUAAGGGGUGCAUGCAUAGGUGGCUACAGGAACAGUGGAGGAGAUGAUUCGCAAGCAAUGUCUUGGUGGCGAUAAAUACACGAAGGAACCGUUCUACAAGAUGUGGCUUUCCGUACAUGGAUAUUAUGCACUGCUUUGCUUUCUUCUUCCCCUUUAAUGCCUUUCGGUCCUUAAAAAGGCUUGGAUGGCAUGGUAUGUUAGAACGGGCUUCAGCUUUUUAGUUUUGUUGUAUGAAACGUGGAUGCAAGUUUUAGAAAUUCAGAAUUUUAGGAUGAUGUUGAAAGGCUCAGCUUUAGUCACUCUAAACCAAAAGAUUGAAGCUGAUUCUAAAAUACUAUGUUAUUUUUGUUGCAUAUAUACUCAUUUAGUUGCUUGUCUGGCAGUGUCUCUUAGAUUUUCUCGUGCAAGUUGACUAUAAAUAUUUGUUUGAUAUGCUUGAUCUUGGGUAUAGGGUACUAAUGCUAUGGCAACAAUGGCAUGACUAUAAAUAGCAAUGUUUACCAUAUCUAAUUGUAAAGUCGUAUUUAUUGAGCAUAGACAUAGCUUGUGUUUGGAACAUCUGAUCAAUAGGAUAGAGUAAUGUUUGGAUGUGCUGUAA
Molecule: long non-coding RNA, 1581 nt
Organism: Panicum virgatum (switchgrass)
Lineage: Eukaryota; Viridiplantae; Streptophyta; Magnoliopsida; Poales; Poaceae
Exons: 4
Source: RefSeq, a predicted model, not a curated record